AGUUUGAUCCUGGCUCAGAUUGAACGCUGCGGCAGGCCUAACACAUAGCAAAGUCGAACGGUAACAGGAAGAAGCUUGCUUCUUUGCUGGACGAGUGGCGGACGGGUGAGUAAUGUCUGGGAAACUGCCUGACUGGAGGGGGAUAACUACUGGAAACGGUAGCUAAUACCGCAUAACGUCGCAAGACCAAAAAAGGGGGGACCCUUUCGGGCCUCUUGCCAUCGGAUGUGCCCAGAUGGGAUUAGCUAGUAGGUGGGGUAACGGCUCACCUAGGCGACGAUCCCUAGCUGGUCUGAGAGGAUGACCAGCCACACUGGAACUGAGACACGGUCCAGACUCCUACGGGAGGCAGCAGUGGGGAAUAUUGCACAAUGGGCGCAAGCCUGAUGCAGCCAUGCCGCGUGUAUGAAGAAGGCCUUCGGGUGUAAAGUACUUUCAGCGGGGAGGAAGGGAGUAAAGUUAAUACCUUUGCUCAUUGACGUUACCCGCAGAAGAAGCACCGGCUAACUCCGUG
This 514-nucleotide ribosomal RNA is filed under the name uncultured bacterium. Its description in RNAcentral is "bacterial SSU rRNA". It matches the Rfam family "Bacterial small subunit ribosomal RNA", at positions 10 to 507 of the family's 1533-position model. The record is from RNAcentral.